GAUUGGAAGUGGACUAAAAAAUUGACUGUGACUUCUGUACAGAUGGUUAAUUGAAUUGGCAUUUCCAUUUGUAUGUUGAUAUACUAAAGUGGAGACCAGGCAUGUCAACUCAUUGAUCCUAGUUAUUCGAAUCAUUUAUAGCAUCACUUGUUUAUGGUGGGCUUGGUUUUAAUUAAAAUUCUGCUGUACAAUUGCCUCCAAU
RNAcentral lists this unclassified non-coding RNA (202 nucleotides) under Hevea brasiliensis (rubber tree). The record is from RNAcentral. Lineage: Eukaryota; Viridiplantae; Streptophyta; Magnoliopsida; Malpighiales; Euphorbiaceae.